RNAcentral lists this long non-coding RNA (500 nucleotides) under Ananas comosus (pineapple). RNAcentral's name for it is "long non-coding RNA (ACOM_LNC040875)". Lineage: Eukaryota; Viridiplantae; Streptophyta; Magnoliopsida; Poales; Bromeliaceae. The record is from RNAcentral.
UAGGGGCCGUCUGGUUGCAUAUAGUUACAAUUGCACGGUAGUUAUAACUAUAUGUAAAUACAAAUUUGGUGUUUGAUUUGAUAUAUUUAAGUCCAACUGUUGCAGUAUGAACUGCAGGAGGGGGUCCAACUGUAGCAUUUGGAACUACGAUCAAAUUGGCCGCAGUUCCAAAUGCAGCAGUUGGAGAGAAUAAUUUUAAACAAAAGAUAACCUUACCCCUUUAAAUAUUUUUUAAACAAAAAAAAAAAAUUUUUUUUACAUUCGAGGUAAUCUCAUCAUUAUAUAUAUAAAAUGAUAAAAUUUUAAAAAUUAUUUCUCAACUGAAUGCAACCAAACAAAUUAUUUAUAGUUGCAGCGAUUUCUACUACAUUCAACCAAACAUGAUGCAUGCAAUUAUAACUAUUGCAUCUUCAAUUACAUACAUCUCCAACUAUACUGCAUUUGUAAUUACAUGCAACCAAACGGCCUCUUAGAGGCUGACAGGCUUAUUAACAACCUCU